This 325-nucleotide long non-coding RNA is filed under the name Ooceraea biroi (clonal raider ant). Its description in RNAcentral is "uncharacterized LOC105286988, transcript variant X1". The record is from RNAcentral. Lineage: Eukaryota; Metazoa; Arthropoda; Insecta; Hymenoptera; Formicidae.
UGAGGAGUGCCAGUUUUUCGUGCGAGCUAUCAAGAAUUAAAAGGAACAAGAGAUUUUUGCAUUGUGCAACGCCAAAAAAUCGUAGAAUUCUCCAUUUGGCCGCACAAGUGAAAUAUCAGUAAUCCGAGCAAGUUAUCUAUGCCGGUGUAAGAUGCACCAGCUGUCACAAGCAGGAGACCCUGCGCCACAUAUGUGAGCUCGAAGUACGGGCUUUGGUCCUUGUCGUAAAAGUAAUAGGUUCUCAUCAAGGAGUGUAUCGCGGGGAUCAUACCAAUGAAAACGAACAAAAACAGGGAGAACAUCGUGCGCAAAUCCGAGAAAUAGU